RNAcentral lists this ribosomal RNA (253 nucleotides) under uncultured bacterium. Its description in RNAcentral is "partial 16S ribosomal RNA". It matches the Rfam family "Bacterial small subunit ribosomal RNA", at positions 524 to 776 of the family's 1533-position model. The record is from RNAcentral.
UACGUAGGGUGCAAGCGUUGUCCGGAAUUAUUGGGCGUAAAGAGCGUGUAGGCGGCCCGAUUAGUCCGCUGUGAAAGUCCAGGGCUCAACCCUGGAAUGCCGGUGGAUACUGUCGGGCUAGAGUCCGGAAGGGGCGAGUGGAAUUCCUGGUGUAGCGGUGAAAUGCGCAGAUAUCAGGAGGAACACCAAUAGCGAAGGCAGCUCGCUGGGACGGUACUGACGCUAAGGCGCGAAAGCGUGGGGAGCGAACAGG